RNAcentral lists this microRNA (24 nucleotides) under Solanum tuberosum (potato). RNAcentral describes it as "stu-miR8011a-5p". Lineage: Eukaryota; Viridiplantae; Streptophyta; Magnoliopsida; Solanales; Solanaceae. The record is from miRBase by way of RNAcentral.
UUGUGUGAGGUUUCUUUUUGUUUC